RNAcentral lists this unclassified non-coding RNA (511 nucleotides) under uncultured Glomus. RNAcentral describes it as "SSU rRNA". It matches the Rfam family "Eukaryotic small subunit ribosomal RNA", at positions 569 to 1083 of the family's 1831-position model. The record is from RNAcentral. Lineage: Eukaryota; Fungi; Glomeromycota; Glomeromycetes; Glomerales; Glomeraceae.
CGCAGCCGCGGUAAUUCCAGCUCCAAUAGCGUAUAUUAAAGUUGUUGCAGUUAAAAAGCUCGUAGUUGAAUUUCGGGAUCAAAGGAUCGGUCAUGCCUUGGUAUGUACUGGUUUUAUUGGUUCUCACCUUCUAAAGAACCAUAAUGUCAUUCAUUUGAUGUUAUGGGGAAUUAGGACUGUUACCUUGAAAAAAUUAGAGUGUUUAAAGCAGGCUUACGCUUGAAUACAUUAGCAUGGAAUAAUGAAAUAGGACAUCAGAUUCUAUUUUGUUGGUUUCUAGGAUCGAUGUAAUGAUUAAUAGGGAUAGUUGGGGGCAUUAGUAUUCAAUUGUCAGAGGUGAAAUUCUUGGAUUUAUUGAAGACUAACUACUGCGAAAGCAUUUGCCAAGGAUGUUUUCAUUAAUCAAGAACGAAAGUUAGGGGAUCGAAGACGAUCAGAUACCGUCGUAGUCUUAACCAUAAACUAUGCCGACUAGGGAUCGGAUGAUGUUAAUUUAUAAUGACUCAUUCGG